UAUUGGUCAAUGGACGCGAGUCUGAACCAGCCAAGUAGCGUGAAGGAUGACUGCCCUAUGGGUUGUAAACUUCUUUUAUAUGGGAAUAAAGUUUUCCACGUGUGGAAUUUUGUAUGUACCAUAUGAAUAAGGAUCGGCUAACUCCGUGCCAGCAGCCGCGGUAAUACGGAGGAUCCGAGCGUUAUCCGGAUUUCUUGGGUUUAAAGGGAGCGUAGGUGGUUAAUUAAGUCAGCGGUGAAAGUUUGUGGCUCAACCAUAAAAUUGCCGUUGAAACUGGUUGACUUGAGUAUAUUUGAGGUAGGCGGAAUGCGUGGUGUAGCGGUGAAAUGCUUAGAUAUCACGAAGAACUCCGAUUGCGAAGGCAGCUCACUGGACUGCAACUGACACUGAUGCUCGAAAGUGUGGGUAUCAAACAG
RNAcentral lists this ribosomal RNA (416 nucleotides) under uncultured bacterium. RNAcentral's name for it is "bacterial SSU rRNA". It matches the Rfam family "Bacterial small subunit ribosomal RNA", at positions 362 to 775 of the family's 1533-position model. The record is from RNAcentral.